RNAcentral lists this long non-coding RNA (2751 nucleotides) under Gossypium barbadense (sea-island cotton). RNAcentral's name for it is "long non-coding RNA (GBAR_LNC022876)". The record is from RNAcentral. Lineage: Eukaryota; Viridiplantae; Streptophyta; Magnoliopsida; Malvales; Malvaceae.
UCGAUUUCUGGAUGCAUCCAUGUCGAUUUCACCCACUUUUAUAAUGGGUUAAACGGCGUCGUCUUUGUUUCAUACAUUUUAUCCCCGAAGCUAAGUCCCGAUACUUAGUAUUUUUUCUCAAAACAAAGUUUCCCCUAUACCCUCAGUUUCCCCAAAUCAAACCCUAAGUUGCUUUCCUCCAUAUUUCACUGAUUCAAGGCCUGAGCUUGAUGUUUCUUCUCAAACAAAUCUUCCUUUCUUUUUUUUAACUCUCUUUCUCUCUCAAGUCCUCGAUUCCACUUCACUCUCCAGAUCUCCCCAAGUAACAUUCAAACCUUUCUUAUGUCUUUUUUUCCUAUUAUUCUUUAAAUUUAUCAUCUUUUCAGUUUGCACUUCUUUCUCGUUUGUAUUUCAUCUUAAAAUUUGAAAUUGUUGUAGAAAUUCAUUAUCAAUAAUAUGUCAAAAUUUAUGACUAUUUUAACACAGACCAAUCUUGGAAUUACUAAUUUUGUUUUUGUAGACUCAGGUUGAUAUUACGCCUACAAACUAGCUUUCAACAGACAUAUUGAUAUCUCUUCUGAAAUAGACUUGAGUUCAGUUAACAGAUUGUUGUGGUUCCAAGAUUUGUUUGCUUAAGUGAUCUUAAAAUAGUUAAUAAAUCUAGGCAUAUUGUUGUUUCAAUUGUCUUCUGUUAUUAGAAAAUCUGUUUUCACAUUGCAGGUAAGUUAGGAAGAGUUGGGUUAGUGACAAAUCUGAUGAGCCUUCACUGUGCUGCUGAACAAUCUGCUUGUUGUCUAGGGCAAUAUACAUCGUAAGUGUUGCUUUAAAUCCUAAUUUGAUAGAGUUAGUAUUAAUAUGUGGUUAGUUAGUUCAAGUCAGUUAGCUGAGUUGUUGUUCAGCUAAGAAUCUGUUGGAAGAGCAGUUAUUGAUCAAAUGUUCUAUAUAUACACUAGUAAGUGUACAGAGAAAGCUAAGCAUUCAAGAUUCAGAAUAUACCAUUGUAAUUCAUUUCCAGAUCUAGAAAAUAUUUCUUUUCAGUUACAAGUGAAAAUUUACCUAGUUCAUAACAUAAUUGAUGCGCAGUUAUUUGGUUUCUGAAGUUCUAUUAACACUCCUAAUCCUGUUACUUUCAUUUGCAUGAAGUGAUUGUUUUAUAUAGAAAUGUAAUCAAGAUGUUUUAGAGUGAAUAGUAUUAGUGUUAGUGAGAAAAGUUAUUUGUCUUUUGCAUUGGUUUGCUUUGGGUUGUAGCUGAUUCAAGGCUAGGCAUAGAAAACCCUUUGGAGUGCCUAUUUUCUAGCAGUUUGGCAUCAUAUUAUAAGGACCUUCAUUUGCUGCUCAUCAUCUCCCAUCCAACAGGUUAGUAUAUUUUUUCAAUUUCGCCUUUUUAUUCUUCUUUCUAAGCUCUCAAACUGUAACAUUCUAUAAAUUCAUUUUCAUGGUGAGUGGUGGUUUUUUUUUCCCUUCACUGGCAAACAAAAGUAUCAGGUAACUUUAAUUUCUAAUUCUCUGUUUCUUUUAAUUUUCACAAAUCCUGAUAAAGUUUUUGCUUGUUCUUGAAAUAUUUCUAUGUUAUUGCUUCCAAUCUUUUCUAAGAUCUUCCCUUGACUCACUUUUGAUUUGGGGUUUUUGUUUCCUUUUCAUCUUCUUGUUGAAAAUUUAUUCAUAUGCUUUAAUUUUCUGGUUUCUUCUUGAUUAAGAUGCAUAAAUUUGAUCAAGCAAUUACCAUAAGGCAGGAUUAGAAGCUGGAAAAAAAAAACCCCAUUUAAUCUUUAAAAUCAACAUUUUGGUCGUGACAAGCAGCAGUUCGGCUUGAUUGAUAUGUAAACUUUGUUUUAUUGUUUGCCGGAUUGUAAAGUUUAUUUUUAUUUUCGGAAUUGGCAAAAGUCUUGUAUUUUUUUAUGAAUUUCACGUUGAAUAAGUGAUAUUUACCAAACACAUGCCCCUUUGUUUUUUUCCCAACGGUUUAUUGUUAUUUUAAAUAUUUUAGUUUUUUUAUUUUAAUCCCAAAAAAUAUUUUAUCUACUUUUAUUUUAUUUUUAAAUUACCUAAUUAAAUUAAAUUGUAUUUAAAGUAUUAUUUUAUUUUAUUUUAAAUUUAUUCAAGACAAGUUGUGUUUAAUCAGGAACCUUAGUUAUUUAGAAUGAAAUUAACAAAUGACCUAAGUUCAUCUUAUAUAAAAUUAACAAAUUACCUAAUUUGGAUGCUAUAUGGAUUCCAAAAUAGUUCUCGUAACUUCAUUGCGUUUGACAGUGAUGGCAUGAACCUACUAAAUCUGAAGGAUUAAAAAUCUUAAUGCAGCAGCAGCUAGUCCUUAUACUAUUUAGAAGCAUUUUUGCUGCUAGGAUUAGCAAUCUAGUUGAGGCAUGAUACAAUUCACAUUUUUAUGAGCAGAUGAGCUUUCUUAUUUAAGUUCGGGAUUGUGCAUUUGGUUAUUGCUUUUCUAGCUUUAACUAAUCAAACUGUGAGUAUCGUUAUCAUAUAUGCAUUAGGAACUAUGAUAGCUAUAUUAGUGAAUGUGGACUGUAAUUGAUAGGCUUACUCUUGAAAGUCCUUGCAAAGUUCUCUUCAUCCUUAGGGUUGGCGAUUGAAAUGUCUAAUCCUUAUGGGAUAGAAAAACAAGCACAACCUUUAUUUCAUAACAUUAAUCAAAUGUAUGAAUUGCAGCCCUUUAAAUAAACUUGAACCAGACCCGAUUCUUGUACCUUGUUUUGCUGUGCAGUUCGCAACUCAGCAUCAUGGGCUUUAAAUUGUAUUAAAUCUUCUUACCAUGUG